This is a long non-coding RNA of Cyprinus carpio (common carp), 1402 nucleotides long. NCBI's taxonomy places the organism in Eukaryota, Metazoa, Chordata, Actinopteri, Cypriniformes, Cyprinidae. The record is from Ensembl.
CUUCUAUAUAUAUAAUCCCUAUACCUUCUUGCGCCAUCUUGCGUUUCGACACGCUAAAGUCAGUUCAAAUUCUGAUUUUACAUUCAUUUUUGUAACGUUACAAACAAAGAGACCGACAUAAUUACCAUAUGAAUAAAUAAUGCAUAUCAGUAUGUAAGUAAGUGAAUAAUUGAACAAAUAUAUAGGCUAUAUGGUCAAUUUAUAGUGCAUUUGUAUCAGACUCUAUAGGCUAUUGUCAGUUUUGUUUAUGUUCUCCCGGCAACGUAUUAUUACAGUAGUUUUGCCUAAAGCUUAACUCUCUGUACAAAGACCAUCACUCCCUAGGAACGGAUCAUCUGUACAUAAGAGACAGGAGAUGUGACCUUGACUGGAAAUCCCAUUUGCGCUGGAUACCUGAACCUCGAUAUAGUGAUGCCCCAUUUCCACACAUCAAAGACAUAAAGUUUCCCAAUGAAAGGAAACUGAUGAGAUCCUUCCCACGUGAGUCAAGCUUUGAUCAGCAAAGUCUAUCUGUUCAAGUAUUAAUAAAAGUAUCUCUAGUGGCAGCUGCACAUGAAAACUUUCCUAUGACUUCAUUAGAGUAAUCACUAAGGCUGUAACAUCUAAGACACUUUUAACUCUAUUUUUACCCUGUUCUUUGGAAUUUGUUACUAGAUUCUGAGAUCAUUUUUCAGUAUUUUUGAUGUUUACUGCCAUGUCCAUUCAGAGGCUAAUAGGGUGUCCGUAUCUGAGUGGAGCUUUUAUCCAAACAUUGGACAGCCCAAGACCUAUCACACUGGAAAGAGAUGUUUUAUGGAUGGCAUUAUGCAUACAAGAAGCAUGAGAUGCUUUUCAGAAAAUUCCCUGGAAUCAUCCAUAGGGAGGAAAAAGCAGGCCACAGACAAAUGCAGCAUCUACCCUUUAACAAAGGUCAGACCAUUUCUAGUUCCUGAGUACAGCUCUGACUUUCAUAAAUAUGAAUCAUCACUGCGCACAGCCACUUUUGGAUCCAAGCCGUUUGCCACAUUUAAACCAUUUAUUCACCUAAAACCCUCUACAAAAAACAUCAGGUAGGUAAAAUUAAUAAUAUUAUGGUGGCCUGCACCAUACAACUUCAUGGCUAAGAAAUAUUUUGUUUGAAUUUCUUAAGGUGUAUGUACUGUUUGCUUUUACAGUCCACUGUAUGCAGAGAAACAUAAAAGUCUUGCUCGAGAGGAGGACAUUCUUGAAGUCAAGAGGCUGAACAGCUGGAGACCAGCACCAGACAUCUAUGACAGGACAGUUUUGCUGGACACCUAAUUUGGAAGGUGUCAAACCAUGCUUACAUAUUUAUUGUUGUUAUUGUUAGUGUUUGCUGUUUUGUUAGACAUAUUUUAGUUCUAUCAAAGUGUUGAAGCAAAUAAAAUGCUCUUUCUUUCCUUCA